UUCGGGAGCUUGUACAGUGCUGCAUGGCUGUCGUCAGCUCGUGUCGUGAGAUGUCGGUUAAGUCCGCUAACGGGCGCAAUCCUCGCUGUGUGUUACAAGUGUCACACGGGAACUGCCGGUCAUAAACCGGAGAAGUGGGAUGACGUCAAGUCAGCAUGGCCUUUAUAUCCUGGGCUACACACACGCUACAAUGGGAAGGGACAAUAGGUUGCGAAGCCGCGAGGCGGAGCCAAUCCAGCAAAACUUCCCUCAGUUCAGAUUGCAGGCUGCAACCCGCCUGCAUGAAGUUGGAGUUGCUAGUAAACGCAGGUCAGCCAUACUGCGUUGAAUACGUUCCCGGGGCUU
Molecule: ribosomal RNA, 345 nt
Filed under: uncultured Anaerolineaceae bacterium
Lineage: Bacteria; Bacillati; Chloroflexota; Anaerolineae; Anaerolineales; Anaerolineaceae
Description: bacterial SSU rRNA
Rfam family: Bacterial small subunit ribosomal RNA
Source: RNAcentral